AACGAACGCUGGCGGCAGGCCUAACACAUGCAAGUCGAGCGAGGACUUCGGUCCUAGCGGCGGACGGGUGAGUAACGCGUGGGAACGUGCCCUUUGCUUCGGAAUAGCCCUGGGAAACUGGGAGUAAUACCGGAUGAGCCCUUUGGGGGAAAGAUUUAUCGGCGAAGGAUCGGCCCGCGUUGGAUUAGGUAGUUGGUGGGGUAAUGGCCUACCAAGCCGACGAUCCAUAGCUGGUUUGAGAGGAUGAUCAGCCACACUGGGACUGAGACACGGCCCAGACUCCUACGGGAGGCAGCAGUGGGGAAUCUUAGACAAUGGGGGAAACCCUGAUCGAGCCAUGCCGCGUGAGCGAUGAAGGCCUUAGGGUUGUAAGGCUCUUUCAGCUGGGAAGAUAAUGACGGUACCAGCAGAAGAAGCCCCGGCUAACUCCGUG
Molecule: ribosomal RNA, 433 nt
Filed under: uncultured bacterium
Lineage: Bacteria
Description: partial 16S ribosomal RNA
Rfam family: Bacterial small subunit ribosomal RNA
Source: RNAcentral